This is a long non-coding RNA of Ziziphus jujuba (common jujube), 2362 nucleotides long. RefSeq lists it as uncharacterized. NCBI's taxonomy places the organism in Eukaryota, Viridiplantae, Streptophyta, Magnoliopsida, Rosales, Rhamnaceae. The record is from RefSeq and is a predicted model, not a curated record. The transcript is spliced from 5 exons.
UCUGUGGUGAAGAGUAAUAAAAAACAAAACCAAUAUCAACAGGAUCCUCCAACAAAGCCCAUUCAUGCAGUAGCUGAGCAAACUGCUGAACAGAAACAGGUUAAUCCGGGAAGUGCUAGUACAUACCAUAUAUAAUUGAUAAGGAAAUCUAUUAAGUGACUAUAGGCAAUUGUUAAGAGGGGGACUCGUAAGCUAUCCAUGGCUUGAGCUAUAUAUUUCAUAGUGUUAUAAUGCGAUGUAUUAUAAUAUAUUUGUAUCUUAUAAAGCGUAUAUGUAAAUAAAUCAUGCUUAAUCUUACUCAUCUAUGACAAGCAUGGUUCAAUCUUAAAGGGAUAUCCUUUAAGAAAGUGAUGUAUUUAUGAAUGUUAUAUAUGAAUGGAAUUUUAAGCUAAUUAACAUACAUAGUUCGAAAUAGAUUCUUUUUUAUUACGCACUGUAAUUCUGCUAUUAUAAAGUAUAGCUACUUAAGAAAGACCAAUUGCAGAUGUUGUAAUUACUUUUGCUAAUUGUUAACUGAAACCUCGAGGAGGGGAAAAAAAUUGAGAGAGAAUUUCAAAGAGCAAAUUAAAAGUAAUGCUCUGGUUUUUGAACCUCAAAGAACUGAAUGGUACAAAGUCUUUAGAUGGCGAUCACGUUCCAUAUUGUAAGCUUGGACAUAUAGAUUAAAAAUUAAUUAAUGCUAAUGUUUCAAGUAUUUUUUCAACAAUCAAAUGAUAAUAAAAAAAUAAAGAGUUUAUCUACAUGAGGUAGACAAAGCUUUACAGCACUAUGUAUUGAUUUUUAUUAAAAAGACAGGAAGUCAGAUAAAGAAAUAAUAACAAUUAAAAUUUACGCUUCAAAAGAUCAAUUUAUUAACAAUGCAAAAAAUAAUUAUCUGAUAUAAAUAAAGUGUUUUUUUUUUUUUUUUUUUUGUUGUUGUUGUUGUUGUUGUCCGGUUCAAAAAAGAUGAUUCUAAUGGAUGGUUGGACCCGAGCAUCUAGGAACAUAGGCCUCGUUUGGGAAACAACCCGGAAUUAUUGAAAAUUUUACUGUGCUUUGGUAACAAAUGUUGUAAUUUCAUAUAACAAUGGCUAUUAUGUCGUGAUUUUGCUGGUUUAUACUUUAUAUUACACAUUUUAAUAAAUACGAAGGACCCAAAAGAUUGCUUUGGAGUUUCAUGUUGAUUUGGGGAAAAUGUUUUAUUAUGUUGCCAUUCAUUCAUAACUUUUAUAUGGACUUUUUGGGUUCUGAUAAAUGCUAAAAAUUAGUAAAUUUCUUUAAUCAAGUUAGGCUCACAGUUUUGAUGAAUUUCGAAUAAAAAGUUUGUAAAUCACUUCCUUCUAACUUCUAAGUCAGAGAGUCAGUCUUUAAAUUAUUUUUUUUUUCUCACUUCUCACAAAAUUCUACCCAAUUGAUAGAUUGUGAUGCUAAAAUUUGAGCAUAUUCUUGCUUGGAAUAUUUUCAAGUUUUUUUGCUCUUUAUCUCCAAAAUGACCUGUUUUGAGGCCCCUACAGAUCCUUUCGGAUUUAUUAUGGCUGGCUCAAUUCUAUUCAUUUGAGGGCUGUUUAAAAUAUCUUGUACAUUUUAUCCAGAAAUAUCUAAUUUUUAAAUUAAAAAACAAACUAGAUAACACAUAAGUAGGAGGAUAUGUAUGAAUCGCAUAUGUUUGGUUUGGGCAAGUGAUUCGUAUAUUAACAUAAAGCUUUAUUCUAGUGCAGGAGAUAAAAAUGGAGAGAACAAUUCCAAAGUGACUGGAAGAGAAUCGAAAUAUAUACAAGGGGAGGCCCUCUAGAGCUCUUUGCAGCAGCAACAUAUCAAUAUAAGUUUGCAGAAGAGAGAGAAGUACAUAGUAGCAGCCAUGGCACAAGAGUACCUGAAGGAGUACGUGCGUUUAACAAGCAACGAUGAUCUUCAUUCACCGCCAACUGUAGUGAAGAGUUAUCAAAAUCAAAACCAAUAUCAGCGGCUACCUCCAACAAAGCUCAAUCACGCAGUUGCUGAACCACCUGCUGAACAUAAACAGUUCUCAAGGUGGUGCGGUCGCGAAGAUGAAAUUUGCCCCAACAGGAGAAAACCUAAGCGUUGAAUAAGGGUUAAUCCUGGGAAGUGCAAUUACGUACUGUUUAUAAUUAAUAAGGAAAUCUAUGUAGAGGGGGAAUCCUUGGCGAUCGAUGACUUCAGCUAUAUAUUUCAUAGUGUUAGAAUGUGAUAUAUAUUUGUAUAUUAUAAAAGUGUAGAUGUAAAAAAUAUCAUGCUUAAUCUUACUCAUCUAUGACAAGCAUGGUUCAAUCUUAAAGGGAUAUCCUUCAAGAAAGUCAUGUAUUUAUGAAUUAUAUAUAUGAAUAGAAUUUUAAGCUAAAUAACAUAUAUCGUUCGAAACAAA